AUCGCUUCUCGGCCUUUUGGCUAAGAUCAAGUGUAGAAUUCUUUGCCUUUAUUACAUCCCUGAGUAAAUUUACUCUAGAUCUUUCUAUUUCAGGUGGAAACUUUCAUAUGUCACACAGGUCGACUGGGAAGGAUCUUGUUUACACUUCUUCCAGGUUAACUAUUCCAUGUUAA
This 173-nucleotide small nuclear RNA is filed under the name Fukomys damarensis (Damara mole-rat). RNAcentral describes it as "U2 spliceosomal RNA". It matches the Rfam family "U2 spliceosomal RNA". Rfam says of the family: U2 is a small nuclear RNA (snRNA) component of the spliceosome (involved in pre-mRNA splicing). Complementary binding between U2 snRNA (in an area lying towards the 5' end but 3' to hairpin I) and the branchpoint sequence (BPS) of the intron results the bulging out of an unpaired adenosine, on the BPS, which initiates a nucleophilic attack at the intronic 5' splice site, thus starting the first of two transesterification reactions that mediate splicing. Lineage: Eukaryota; Metazoa; Chordata; Mammalia; Rodentia; Bathyergidae. The record is from Rfam by way of RNAcentral.